Micropterus dolomieu (smallmouth bass) is the source of this 1127-nucleotide long non-coding RNA. RefSeq lists it as uncharacterized. NCBI's taxonomy places the organism in Eukaryota, Metazoa, Chordata, Actinopteri, Centrarchiformes, Centrarchidae. The record is from RefSeq and is a predicted model, not a curated record. The transcript has 3 exons.
AGUUGGUAUUUUAAUUUUCAAAAUGUAUAUUUUCUUAUCUUUCCUUUUCCCCACUUGUUUGAUAAAACCAAACGACAUUUGAAGUUACAAAUACCACUGCAAAAAGUCCUAUCAAAGUCAGCAAGAGUUAAGAGUCUGUUUUUCCAGAGCAUCAUUAGCACUGCACUGCUUAAGUCAACCUAGUCAAAACAUGGCCAAUAUGGCGCUUACCGGCUGUCCUUCACAGUUUUGUGGAGGGCUUGGUCUUGGUCAUCACUUUAAUGACAAAGAUCAAGAUCCUUGGUUUUGUGGUGCUAUAAAUGCUCCUUCCACUGCGGUCUAAAGACAACAACAGAGCCAGGUGCUGGCACGCUCAGAUUGCCUGGAAGAUUUGUUGCACCUGGUUCACCACUGAUUGAAGGGGAGGAGGAGCUCCCAGGCAGUUUGUCAGCACACUUACUGAAACCUGCAGACACUCUAAGCUUUUGCACCCUGGUCUUGUAAUCAUUUAUGUCUUCAUUCUUUUAACAGAGCUUCCCGUAGUAGUAACAAAGUCAAAAGAAGUAAUUGAAAAAGUCACAUACCAGACCUCAACUUCUGCAUCCACCUGGUCAACAGCCACCAGCUUCUGCAUGCGUUUCUCCUGAAGUGGUGUCUGAUGAUACGGUGUCUUUUGUGCCAGGCUGUGAUGUCAAAGUCCCUAGAUGAAAUCCUUCGGUCUACGUAGGGGACCUUGCUGUGCUUGUCUACAGCAGGGAAACGCUGUCCCAUUCAAGUUUGACGGGGAGACAAUCUGGGGCACACAAAGACAUGGAAUCCAAGCCGCAACUCCAUAACACAAAACCUGAAGCUAUAGUUGUGAAAGAUGAAGAAAUGAACAAUCUGAGACGUUUGAUCUGCAUGGAGAGGACGUCACUGUUAAACAAAAUAAAAAUGAAACUCACACCUGUGUUGCACAGAGAGAUGUGGAGAUGGACUUUCAGUGUUCUUGAAGUCGGGUCCAGGUGGAUCAUUAUUGUUCAGGUCAUCCACAGAGGCCCUGAUACAGAGGUGUCAAACUCAUUUUCACCACGGGCCACAUAAGCACUACGGUUGGAACUGUAAGACUAUAUAAACAUACUUUACUGCAUAAACUAUUCCGUAACAUA